AUGGCUAGUCCAGGCACAUUGCUGCUGGCGACGGUGCUCGUCAUCCUAUCAAUUUUCGUAAGCCCCAUCUCCGGCUACUGGAAGCCGAGCCGCACCCGCACCAGGCGCCCUAGCAGCCGCCGGUCCUGGUCCUCCGGCGGCGCGACGUGGUACGGCAGCCCCUACGGCGCCGGCAGCGACGGUGGCGCGUGCGGCUAUCAAAGAGCCGUCGGCCAGCACCCGUUCUCGUCGAUGAUCGCCGCCGGCGGGCCCUCCUUCUUCAAGAGCGGCAAAGGCUGCGGUUCAUGUUAUCAGGUCAAGUGCACCGGUAACAAGGCCUGCUCCGGCCGCCCGGUGACCGUCGUCAUCGCCGACAACUGCCCCGACGGUAUAUGCGCCUCGGAGGAUCAUUUCGACAUGAGCGGCACCGCCUUCGGCGCCAUGGCCAACCGAGGGAUGGCCGACCGCCUCCGCUCCGCUGGACAGCUCAAGAUCCACUACGCGAGGGUGCCCUGCAACUACAACGGCAUGAACAUUGUCUUCAAGGUGGACGCGGGCUCCAACCCCUUCUACCUCUCCGUGCUGAUCAUGUACCAGGCCGGCGACGGAGACCUCUCUGCCGUCGACAUCAUGCAGGGCGGCUGCGCGCCCGGCCACCACAACGACCACGGCGCGCCGUGGAUGGCGAUGACGCAGUCGUGGGGCGCGCUGUGGCUCCUCCAGUCGAACAACGGGAAGCCUCUCCAAGCCCCGUUCUCGUUCCGGCUCACCUCGGGUUCCGGCAAGGUCCUCGAGGUCACCAACGCCAUCCCUUCCGGCUGGUCGGCCGGCACGUCCUACAGCUCCUCGGCGAACUACGCCAGUUAG
Molecule: ribosomal RNA, 846 nt
Filed under: Triticum aestivum (bread wheat)
Lineage: Eukaryota; Viridiplantae; Streptophyta; Magnoliopsida; Poales; Poaceae
Description: partial small subunit ribosomal RNA
Source: RNAcentral